UACGGGGGGAGCAAGCGUUGUUCGGAUUUACUGGGCGUAAAGGGCGCGUAGGCGGCGUGGUAAGUCACUUGUGAAAUCUCCGGGCUUAACUCGGAACGGUCAAGUGAUACUGCUGUGCUAGAGUGCGGAAGGGGCAACUGGAAUUCUCGGUGUAGCGGUGAAAUGCGUAGAUAUGUGGAGGAAUACCGAUGGCGAAGGCAGCCCCCUGGGAUAACACUGACGCUCAUGCACGAAAGCGUGGGGAGCAAACAGG
This 253-nucleotide ribosomal RNA is filed under the name uncultured bacterium. RNAcentral's name for it is "partial 16S ribosomal RNA". It matches the Rfam family "Bacterial small subunit ribosomal RNA", at positions 524 to 776 of the family's 1533-position model. The record is from RNAcentral.